UGGCUCAGGAUGAACGCUAGCUACAGGCUUAACACAUGCAAGUCGAGGGGCAUCAGGAAGAAAGCUUGCUUUCUUUGCUGGCGACCGGCGCACGGGUGAGUAACACGUAUCCAACCUGCCCUUUACUCGGGGAUAGCCUUUCGAAAGAAAGAUUAAUACCCGAUGGCAUAAUGAUUCCGCAUGGUUUCAUUAUUAAAGGAUUCCGGUAAAGGAUGGGGAUGCGUUCCAUUAGGUUGUUGGUGAGGUAACGGCUCACCAAGCCUUCGAUGGAUAGGGGUUCUGAGAGGAAGGUCCCCCACAUUGGAACUGAGACACGGUCCAAACUCCUACGGGAGGCAGCAGUGAGGAAUAUUGGUCAAUGGGCGCUAGCCUGAACCAGCCAAGUAGCGUGAAGGAUGAAGGCUCUAUGGGUCGUAAACUUCUUUUAUAUAAGAAUAAAGUGCAGUAUGUAUACUGUUUUGUAUGUAUUAUAUGAAUAAGGAUCGGCUAACUCCGUGCCAGCAGCCGCGGUAAUACGGAGGAUCCGAGCGUUAUCCGGAUUUAUUGGGUUUAAAGGGAGCGUAGGUGGACUGGUAAGUCAGUUGUGAAAGUUUGCGGCUCAACCGUAAAAUUGCAGUUGAUACUGUCAGUCUUGAGUACAGUAGAGGUGGGCGGAAUUCGUGGUGUAGCGGUGAAAUGCUUAGAUAUCACGAAGAACUCCGAUUGCGAAGGCAGCUCACUGGACUGCAACUGACACUGAUGCUCGAAAGUGUGGGUAUCAAACAGGAUUAGAUACCCUGGUAGUCCACACAGUAAACGAUGAAUACUCGCUGUUUGCGAUAUACAGUAAGCGGCCAAGCGAAAGCAUUAAGUAUUCCACCUGGGGAGUACGCCGGCAACGGUGAAACUCAAAGGAAUUGACGGGGGCCCGCACAAGCGGAGGAACAUGUGGUUUAAUUCGAUGAUACGCGAGGAACCUUACCCGGGCUUAAAUUGCAGUGGAAUGAUGUGGAAACAUGUCAGUGAGCAAUCACCGCUGUGAAGGUGCUGCAUGGUUGUCGUCAGCUCGUGCCGUGAGGUGUCGGCUUAAGUGCCAUAACGAGCGCAACCCUUAUCUUUAGUUACUAACAGGUCAUGCUGAGGACUCUAGAGAGACUGCCGUCGUAAGAUGUGAGGAAGGUGGGGAUGACGUCAAAUCAGCACGGCCCUUACGUCCGGGGCUACACACGUGUUACAAUGGGGGGUACAGAAGGCAGCUAGCGGGUGACCGUAUGCUAAUCCCAAAAUCCUCUCUCAGUUCGGAUCGAAGUCUGCAACCCGACUUCGUGAAGCUGGAUUCGCUAGUAAUCGCGCAUCAGCCACGGCGCGGUGAAUACGUUCCCGGGCCUUGUACACACCGCCCGUCAAGCCAUGGGAGCCGGGGGUACCUGAAGUACGUAACCGCAAGGAUCGUCCUAGGGUAAAACUGGU
Molecule: ribosomal RNA, 1449 nt
Filed under: uncultured organism
Description: 16S ribosomal RNA
Rfam family: Bacterial small subunit ribosomal RNA
Source: RNAcentral